Molecule: non-coding RNA, 1387 nt
Organism: Labrus bergylta (ballan wrasse)
Lineage: Eukaryota; Metazoa; Chordata; Actinopteri; Labriformes; Labridae
Source: RefSeq, a predicted model, not a curated record
AGAGCAGACUUGGCCCACAUGGGGUCUAACAGUGGGGGCUCAACAGCUUGCAGCUGAUGGACUCAGAGCAUAGAGGGUGCAAGGAGGAGUAGUACAUGAAAACAGACACUUUUUUCGAACUUUAGCUAUUGUGAACGUACAAAAGUAGGUACAUAGAUUAAAUAUAAGAACCCCAAAAAGGGCAUAAUAUGGGCUCUUUAACUAUUUUUUCUCUCCAUUUUGGUGGCAUGCUACAUCUAAUAUUAUCACAUACAUUAUCAACUGUCUUCCUACUUACCCCAUCUUCCAGCUCACUAACGGCAUCAUACACGGCCCUAUUUGGCAGGAAGCCGGGUAUGUACUCGUACACCAUGUCCUUUACCUGCCUUAUCCCUGCCGCACUAAACAACCUAUUAUAAAAGACCUUACCCUCCUUCUGUAUUUUUGGGUUAAAGAAGAUUGGCUGGUUGACCACCUGGUUGAAGCUGUGACACUCGUACACCAGGUGGCCCAGCAUGUCUGUCCAGUCCAACAGGACCUCCUGAUAGAACCUUGAUAGCGUUUUCCUGGAGAUCCUCACUCCUUUGCAGCAUUAAUUUCCUUUACCACCCAAUCUGGCAAAUCUUUAGCACCCAACACAUAAAUUACUUUCGACAUCACGUUCACAUCCACAUUUGUGGAAGAACAGUCACAAAAGAGACAAAUCUGCGUCUCUUUUAGAGGCUGCGUCGCAUGGUAUGCUGCUGUCUGACACAUCGCCUACCACUAAAAGGGAAGGAGAGAGGCUCAUUCUACAGUCCCUGCUUGAAAAAAAAGACCCACAAAUUUUCAGGGAGUAUGACACUGCAGGUACCCUGUCAGCACCAUCGAGGAAGCUUCUUGUGAAGACCUGCAUAGGAGAUCUGGAACCGAACCGCACUUUUUUUUGGUUCCUUGUCAGCAUAAAUCCUGGCUCCAGCAAGUGCAGUGCCAAGGUCCAGACAAGCCGGAAAACAGGAAGAACUGAGGAAAACAUCUGAUAUGAACCCCACGUUGUUUCAUUCAUCAGGGACUUCACUGAGUUUGAUUGGCAGAAUAAUUAGAUGGAGGUGAGCUUGGGAUAAUAAUAAUGUGGCCUUAAAAGCAGUGCUUUUUAGAUUGUUUAUCUGCAUAGUGUCCCCUGUUGUGCCGUUCUGUGCCGAAAACGUGGAAACAUGUUAUUUUGUCUGUCUGAGAUUGAGUUGUUCAUUCGGUGCCUGUUUUGGCAUCAUGUUGAAAAAGUGAUGAAAAGAAAUACGAUCACAAGUCUGUAUAUUGUGUCUAGCUUGACACGAACCUGCAGGGUACUCCUUGGAAAUAGACUUGCAAUAACCAUGAUUGUCGUAACAACAAGUGUUGUUGUUACCAACAAUAAAUAGUUAAAAAUGUA